CUGGAGGUAUCAGAAGUGCGAAUGCUGACAUAAGUAACGAUAAAGCGGGUGAAAAGCCCGCUCGCCGGAAGACCAAGGGUUCCUGUCCAACGUUAAUCGGGGCAGGGUGAGUCGACCCCUAAGGCGAGGCCGAAAGGCGUAGUCGAUGGGAAACAGGUUAAUAUUCCUGUACUUGGUGUUACUGCGAAGGGGGGACGGAGAAGGCUAUGUUGGCCGGGCGACGGUUGUCCCGGUUUAAGCGUGUAGGCUGGUUUUCCAGGCAAAUCCGGAAAAUCAAGGCUGAGGCGUGAUGACGAGGCACUACGGUGCUGAAGCAACAAAUGCCCUGCUUCCAGGAAAAGCCUCUAAGCAUCAGGUAACAUCAAAUCGUACCCCAAACCGACACAGGUGGUCAGGUAGAGAAUACCAAGGCGCUUGAGAGAACUCGGGUGAAGGAACUAGGCAAAAUGGUGCCGUAACUUCGGGAGAAGGCACGCUGAUAUGUAGGUGAAGCGACUUGCUCGUGGAGCUGAAAUCAGUCGAAGAUACCAGCUGGCUGCAACUGUUUAUUAAAAACACAGCACUGUGCAAACACGAAAGUGGACGUAUACGGUGUGACGCCUGCCCGGUGCCGGAAGGUUAAUUGAUGGGGUUAGCGGUAACGCGAAGCUCUUGAUCGAAGCCCCGGUAAACGGCGGCCGUAACUAUAACGGUCCUAAGGUAGCGAAAUUCCUUGUCGGGUAAGUUCCGACCUGCACGAAUGGCGUAAUGAUGGCCAGGCUGUCUCCACCCGAGACUCAGUGAAAUUGAACUCGCUGUGAAGAUGCAGUGUACCCGCGGCAAGACGGAAAGACCCCGUGAACCUUUACUAUAGCUUGACACUGAACAUUGAGCCUUGAUGUGUAGGAUAGGUGGGAGGCUUUGAAGUGUGGACGCCAGUCUGCAUGGAGCCGACCUUGAAAUACCACCCUUUAAUGUUUGAUGUUCUAACGUUGGCCCGUUAUCCGGGUUGCGGACAGUGUCUGGUGGGUAGUUUGACUGGGGCGGUCUCCUCCUAAAGAGUAACGGAGGAGCACGAAGGUUGGCUAAUCCUGGUCGGACAUCAGGAGGUUAGUGCAAUGGCAUAAGCCAGCUUGACUGCGAGCGUGACGGCGCGAGCAGGUGCGAAAGCAGGUCAUAGUGAUCCGGUGGUUCUGAAUGGAAGGGCCAUCGCUCAACGGAUAAAAGGUACUCCGGGGAUAACAGGCUGAUACCGCCCAAGAGUUCAUAUCGACGGCGGUGUUUGGCACCUCGAUGUCGGCUCAUCACAUCCUGGGGCUGAAGUAGGUCCCAAGGGUAUGGCUGUUCGCCAUUUAAAGUGGUACGCGAGCUGGGUUUAGAACGUCGUGAGACAGUUCGGUCCCUAUCUGCCGUGGGCGCUGGAGAACUGAGGGGGGCUGCUCCUAGUACGAGAGGACCGGAGUGGACGCAUCACUGGUGUUCGGGUUGUCAUGCCAAUGGCACUGCCCGGUAGCUAAAUGCGGAAGAGAUAAGUGCUGAAAGCAUCUAAGCACGAAACUUGCC
This 1542-nucleotide ribosomal RNA is filed under the name Escherichia coli. Its description in RNAcentral is "bacterial LSU rRNA". It matches the Rfam family "Bacterial large subunit ribosomal RNA", at positions 1273 to 2798 of the family's 2925-position model. The record is from RNAcentral. Lineage: Bacteria; Pseudomonadati; Pseudomonadota; Gammaproteobacteria; Enterobacterales; Enterobacteriaceae.